CAGGAUGCCAGGGUCCUGCCUCGGCAGAGAGGCGGUGCCAGAUGCCCCACAGCAGCUGGUGGGAGUGCCCACAGCUGGAGGGCAGGGGAGGAGCCUGGCCUCUGGCUGGUGUUUCCUUCCCAGCUCUCAGGAACUGGAGACUUUGGUUACAGAAGUGAAGGCUGCUCCCUCACAGACUUCCUAGUGUCCGAUGGUACCACAUGGAAGGAUCAGAGUUUUGAAGGACUGGGCCAGAACCCAGAUAGGGCACAAGGCUGCCAGCGCCUGCAUUGAGGGAGCUGUGAUGUGACGGGGGCUCCUGCAGAAGAUGGCCUUCCUUGUACAGAGUCGGAUGGCAGAGAGCUUGCGCCUCUUUGACUCCAUCUGCAACAACAACUGGUUCAUCAACACCUCACUCAUCCUCUUCCUGAACAAGAAGGACCUGCUGGCAGAGAAGAUCCGCCGCAUCCCGCUCACCAUCUGCUUUCCCGAGUACAAGGGCCAGAACACGUACGAGGAGGCCGCUGUCUACAUCCAGCGGCAGUUCGAAGACCUGAACCGCAACAAGGAGACCAAGGAGAUCUACUCCCACUUCACCUGCG
This 581-nucleotide small RNA is filed under the name Pan troglodytes (chimpanzee). Its description in RNAcentral is "processed transcript". Lineage: Eukaryota; Metazoa; Chordata; Mammalia; Primates; Hominidae. The record is from RNAcentral.